CAUCCGGGGGACAUUUUCCCCUGAAGUCUGUCCGCCCCGUGAGAGCAUGCUUGUAGCAGUCAUGCGCCGAAUGUCUCUGUCUGACACGACUAGGAAAAGAUUAUAUAUUAUUUAAUAUUUAUAUGUAAUAUACAGUAGCUGCAUGUUUUUUUUUCAUGUUGUUUAUUUUAUUUAGAGUUUAAUAUGAAACGUGAUUUGGGUUUGCAUCCUUGUGCAGAGGCGCUAGGCCGCACCGGCAUGGAAAUGCGCAGGCUGAGUGAUUAAUUCGGAUUGAUGCAGUGUUUUUGUGUUGACUGCACGUCCACACGUGGGCAGAUGGGUGGUGUGCUCUCAGAUGAAGGCCAACCAAGGUCCAUUUUGAUUUAAGACGGAGUGACGUAAAUGGGCACUGUUGCAGAAUGAUUGCAGGAAUAUCACUGUAAAAUCAGACGUUGAUGCUGAAGGAACACGCUGCUGUCAAUUUUAAAAGGUGAUAAGUUUUGGGUUUGCUGUAAGUGUGUUGUUGUACCAGAAUAUUCAUUUUUGCACUGUUUGCUGUAUCCAGUCCAAAUAAAGCAUUUAUACACAAACACAGAA
Molecule: long non-coding RNA, 576 nt
Organism: Acanthopagrus latus (yellowfin seabream)
Lineage: Eukaryota; Metazoa; Chordata; Actinopteri; Spariformes; Sparidae
Exons: 4
Source: RefSeq, a predicted model, not a curated record